AUGGGGCAGCUCUGGGCGGUGUUCCUGGCCGUGAGGUCGCUCUCCAUCGGCCUGCUCGGGGUGCUCGGAGUCUGGCUCUGCUACCUGUUCCAGGCCGAGGCGCUGGGCCCGCCUCCUGCCCCGCCGCCCGAGACGCCGGACACGAGCGACAACGGCAACGGUGACGACAAGAAUGGGCUAUCGGAGGUAGAGCUGAGGCGGCUUGGCGGGGUCGUCCAGGCGGAGGUCGCAGCUUACGACGAGGAGGAGGCGCUCUGCCCCAUUCGCCUCGAUGCCAUGGAGCCGGGCCGCGCCCUGCGCGUCCUCCCGGCUACAACCGUGCCUUCCACAGGAGUGCGUCGAUCGGUGGCUGGCCAUCUCGCUGCACUGCCCCGUGUGCAACAUCCGGGCCACGCCGCAGGCCUCGCCGACGGUGGCCAAGACUGCUACGGGUGCUGA
Molecule: ribosomal RNA, 438 nt
Filed under: Triticum aestivum (bread wheat)
Lineage: Eukaryota; Viridiplantae; Streptophyta; Magnoliopsida; Poales; Poaceae
Description: partial small subunit ribosomal RNA
Source: RNAcentral